RNAcentral lists this ribosomal RNA (472 nucleotides) under uncultured bacterium. RNAcentral describes it as "bacterial SSU rRNA". It matches the Rfam family "Bacterial small subunit ribosomal RNA", at positions 355 to 825 of the family's 1533-position model. The record is from RNAcentral.
UGGGGAAUAUUGGACAAUGGGCGAAAGCCUGAUCCAGCCAUGCCGCGUGUGUGAAGAAGGUCUUCGGAUUGUAAAGCACUUUAAGUUGGGAGGAAGGGCAGUUACCUAAUACGUAUCUGUUUUGACGUUACCGACAGAAUAAGCACCGGCUAACUCUGUGCCAGCAGCCGCGGUAAUACAGAGGGUGCAAGCGUUAAUCGGAAUUACUGGGCGUAAAGCGCGCGUAGGUGGUUUGUUAAGUUGGAUGUGAAAUCCCCGGGCUCAACCUGGGAACUGCAUUCAAAACUGACAAGCUAGAGUAUGGUAGAGGGUGGUGGAAUUUCCUGUGUAGCGGUGAAAUGCGUAGAUAUAGGAAGGAACACCAGUGGCGAAGGCGACCACCUGGACUGAUACUGACACUGAGGUGCGAAAGCGCGGGGAGCAAACAGGAUUAGAUACCCCCGUAGUCCCUGAGCGGGCUGGCAAGGCGCAU